Molecule: long non-coding RNA, 321 nt
Organism: Mirounga angustirostris (Northern elephant seal)
Lineage: Eukaryota; Metazoa; Chordata; Mammalia; Carnivora; Phocidae
Exons: 3
Source: RefSeq, a predicted model, not a curated record
AGAUCAUGAAGAUCUAAGGACAGUGUGUCAUAUCACAGGGGGAGGUUAUGGACAACAGUAGCACGGUCUGCUGUCCUGGUACCAAGAAGGACUCAUCAAAUACUACCUGGGAGACAUGGCCUUGAAAGCAUAACCUGUGAACAUAAUCCGUCUGAGACAGCACUGAACUCCAGAGAUUGGGCCUGCUUCAGCAUACACUGAAUUUACAUUUAUCAUGAAUCCAGCUAGCUUUCUUGGUAUGAAAGUAAGAUUCAUUGGUCUGUACUUUUUUGGUAGUUCCUGAAAUUCUCAUAGAUAGAGAUAUCAUUAGUGUUUCAACAA